Molecule: small RNA, 155 nt
Filed under: Pan troglodytes (chimpanzee)
Lineage: Eukaryota; Metazoa; Chordata; Mammalia; Primates; Hominidae
Description: processed transcript
Source: RNAcentral
AGCGAGUGCUGUUUCCGCCGCAGGCCCGGGUUCGCUUGCCGCCGCUGGCACGCACUGUACAGCUGCGUCAGCUGCUCGCAGGACACGUCCAGCGGCUGGUGCAAGUCUGUCCCGCGUGGAGAAACAAGAUUUAACAAGGAGAAAAUAAUCCAAGG